This 457-nucleotide ribosomal RNA is filed under the name uncultured bacterium. RNAcentral's name for it is "bacterial SSU rRNA". It matches the Rfam family "Bacterial small subunit ribosomal RNA", at positions 340 to 786 of the family's 1533-position model. The record is from RNAcentral.
UACGGAAGGCAGCAGUGGGGAAUAUUGCACAAUGGGCGAAAGCCUGAUGCAGCUAUGCCGCGUGUAUGAAGAAGGCCUUUAGGGUUGUAAAGUACUUUCAUCGGGGAGGAAAAACAAAACUAAUAAUUUUAUUUCUUGACGUUACCCGAAAAAGAAGCACCGGCUAACUCCGUGCCAGCAGCCGCGGUAAUACGGAGGGUGCUAGCGUUAAUCAGAAUUACUGGGCGUAAAGAGCACGUAGGUGGUUUUUUUAAGUCAGAUGUGAAAUCCCUGGGCUUAACCUAGGAACUGCAUUUUGAAACUGAAAUACUAGAGUAUCGUAGAGGGAGGUAGAAUUCUAGGUGUAGCGGUGAAAUGCGUAGAUAUCUGGAGGAAUACCUGUGGCGAAAGCGGCCUCCUAAACGAAUACUGACACUGAGGGUGCGAAAGCGUGGGGAGCAAACAGGGAUUAGAUACC